Nicotiana attenuata is the source of this 720-nucleotide long non-coding RNA. RefSeq lists it as uncharacterized. The record is from RefSeq and is a predicted model, not a curated record. Lineage: Eukaryota; Viridiplantae; Streptophyta; Magnoliopsida; Solanales; Solanaceae. The transcript has 2 exons.
UUUCUUGGGAUCGGUGGUGGAAAGACCCUCAAUUCUUCCUAUAAAUACUGCCCAUUCUUCUCUUCUCUCAACACUUCCCUUUAAAAAAGAAGAGAUUUUCUCUCUUUAUUUUCUCAAGAAACCCUAUUUAGGGUUAAUGGGGUUGCAGCUAUAGAGGUUUUUUGUUUUUUAUUUUAUUAUUUUGGAGGAGCCGUGAAGCAACAGUAAAGUUGUCUUCGUGUAACAUAUAGGCCAUGCAUUCGGGCCGUUGAAUCAGUCACUGAGUAUGACUCUUCCUCGGAUCCUAUGUAAAUGCGGGAUAUUUCGUGCAUCGGACUGCCUUAAGAUGAAGAGAAAUUGUUGCGGUUCAAUAAAGCUGUGGGAAGAUACACAUAGGGUCAUACACAGUUUUUACAGAUGCAGAUUUUGAUUUUAUUACUGCAUGGUAAAUUUCAGGGAAAUUUAACCUGGAAUUCUGAUGGUGUUUAUACUUGCUUUUCUUUAAUUAGUUGUUUAUGUAUGUUGGAAAUGAGGUAUUCAUUAUGAUUUACAGUGUAAUUUUUCGGCGAGAGGUGACUCCGCCACGGCUGAUGAGCUCUCUUUCACUAGAUCUGUUUCUUAUUGUGUAGUCUACCAGAUAUUUCAGUUUGUGACUUCUCUGGUUAUUGAUGUGUUAUGUGUUUGGCAUCGACCCCUACCUGUACAUAUAGAUCAGCAAAAUUUACAAGUUUUCAACCUUUA